CACGGUUUUUUUUGAAUGGGUACUACAAAACUUCUUAUCAACUUCCCGGUUUUUUUUUAUUUUUUAUUUUUAAAUUUUUUUUGCAACAGCUGUGUAGUGUGUUAUCUGUGUCCUGUGUCGAAUUGUCGAUGUUAUAACUAUCAACUAUCUAUUAACUGAAUUAUUUCUUUUUCAAAAGCUACCUAUGUAAAAUUGCGAUUCUGAAAUUUUAAGGAAAUGGCAAACCAAUAAUGACUUACGGAGAGAUUUGUUGAGAAUAUAAAAUGGUGAAUCAAGAUUGAACUUGUUUACUUUUUUCGUUAUAUUUUCAACUGUGAACUAGUCUAAUAUCGAAGUUUGUGAAGCUAAAGCUGUGCAAAAUCGGAGAAUGAAGUGAUAACUGAAUAUGCUAUUAAUUGUGUCUUUAUUCUGAAUUUGUGCAUGACUGUCCACAAUUCUAUUGGUGCUCAACAGUCAACAUUUUGACACCCCGUGAUCAGUUAAUGUAUCAAGGCCUCAAAGAUAUGAGUCAAGACGACGUGUAUGAAGUCAACAGUAUAGUCGAUAAAAGGUUGGUGAGGAACUCCGAAUCAGAAGAAGAGUUCAAAAUUCGAUGGCAAGGUUACGGGCCUAAUGAUGAUACUUGGCAAACAGAAAGUGAUUGCAUUCCGUCUUGUUACGAUCUCGUAAUAAAUUUAGAAACGACUUUGUUCCAACGAAAUCAGCGAAAAUUCCUUAGAAGCGAAAUAAUUGGAUGGAAGAGAGAUCCUUCAAAUCGAAUAAAAUUGCUCGUUGAAUGGCAAACUAGAGCUUCAAGUACAGUUGAAUUUUACUAUUCUUCAGUCCUACAGACUCACGUUACACACAUGCUGAUCGACUAUUAUGAAGAGAAUAUCCCAGUACCCGACCAAAAUCCAGAAUUGGCUCACUUUUACGAUUCAUUAUUUGGGACCACAGCCGUUGACGAAUCUGAUAAACCACAAAAGAUUAUUGCUUUUGCGUUAUUUAGAGGAGUUAGAUGGUACUUGAUCUCUUGGAUGGAUCAGGAUGAAUGUUCUGUUGUUAAUCACAAUUUUCUAAGAACAAGAUAUCCUGAAUUACUUAUUGAAUUUUACGAAAAACAUUUAUUACCGAGGGAGAAUCCCGUAUGAGAAAAUACAAUUCCAUUGAUGAAGGAAUUUGGCCUGUACUUUUUCAUGAUGUUCGUUUUAUUGUAAUUAUGCUAUUAUUCUAAUAAUCUAAGUUGUAGUAGUUCGGUAUUACUACUUUCACUUGGAAAUGCGAAAUUUAAAAAAAAUGUAUGGUACGAAAGUGUAUUGUAAUCAAAUUUAAAUAUAAUGAAAAAUUACGUAUGUUCA
Long non-coding RNA from Planococcus citri (citrus mealybug), 1337 nucleotides. RefSeq lists it as uncharacterized. The transcript is spliced from 2 exons. Lineage: Eukaryota; Metazoa; Arthropoda; Insecta; Hemiptera; Pseudococcidae. The record is from RefSeq and is a predicted model, not a curated record.